UUAGGUAUAAGCAAUCUAUACAGUGAAACUGCGAAUGGCUCAUUAAAUCAGUUAUCGUUUAUUUGAUAGUACCUUACUACUUGGAUAACCGUGGUAAUUCUAGAGCUAAUACAUGCUAAAAAUCCCGACCUCUGGAAGGGAUGUAUUUAUUAGAUAAAAAACCAAUGCCUUCGGGCUCCUUGGUGAUUCAUGAUAACUUAACGAAUCGCAUGGCCUUGUGCCGGCGAUGGUUCAUUCAAAUUUCUGCCCUAUCAACUUUCGAUGGUAGGAUAGUGGCCUACCAUGGUUUCAACGGGUAACGGGGAAUUAGGGUUCUAUUCCGGAGAGGGAGCCUGAGAAACGGCUACCACAUCCAAGGAAGGCAGCAGGCGCGCAAAUUACCCAAUCCCGACACGGGGAGGUAGUGACAAUAAAUACUGAUACAGGGCCCUUUCGGGUCUUGUAAUUGGAAUGAGUACAAUUUAAAUCCCUUAACGAGGAACAAUUGGAGGGCAAGUCUGGUGCCAGCAGCCGCGGUAAUUCCAGCUCCAAUAGCGUAUAUUAAAGUUGUUGCAGUUAAAAAGCUCGUAGUUGAACCUUGGGUCUGGCUGGCCGGUCCGCCUCACCGCGUGCACUGGUCCGGCCGGACCUUUCCUUCUGGCUAACCUCAUGCCCUUUACUGGGUGUGUUGGGGAACCAGGACUUUUACUUUGAAAAAAUUAGAGUGUUCAAAGCAGGCAUUUGCUCGAAUACAUUAGCAUGGAAUAAUAGAAUAGGACGUGCGGUUCUAUUUUGUUGGUUUCUAGGACCGCCGUAAUGAUUAAUAGGGAUAGUCGGGGGCAUCCGUAUUCAAUUGUCAGAGGUGAAAUUCUUGGAUUUAUUGAAGACGAACUACUGCGAAAGCAUUUGCCAAGGAUGUUUUCAUUAAUCAGGAACGAAAGUUGAGGGAUCGAAGACGAUCAGAUACCGUCGUAGUCUCAACCAUAAACUAUGCCGACUAGGGAUCGGGCGAUGUACUUUUCGUGACUCGCUCGGCACCUUACGAGAAAUCAAAGUCUUUGGGUCUGGG
This 1048-nucleotide ribosomal RNA is filed under the name Plectania sichuanensis. Its description in RNAcentral is "SSU rRNA". It matches the Rfam family "Eukaryotic small subunit ribosomal RNA", at positions 59 to 1118 of the family's 1831-position model. The record is from RNAcentral. Lineage: Eukaryota; Fungi; Ascomycota; Pezizomycetes; Pezizales; Sarcosomataceae.